This 350-nucleotide unclassified non-coding RNA is filed under the name Melitaea cinxia (Glanville fritillary). RNAcentral's name for it is "misc RNA ENSMCXG00005001143.1". The record is from RNAcentral. Lineage: Eukaryota; Metazoa; Arthropoda; Insecta; Lepidoptera; Nymphalidae.
GGCAUUAGGCAACAAUGGGACAACGAAGCGGUGAGCGACGUCCAAGACUCGCUAGGUCAAGAGUGGACCUACGCGGAGCGCAAAGAACUAGAACGCGCCUGUCAAGCCGCCUACUUCGUGGCUGUAGUCAUAUCACAAAUGAUGAACGGAAUUAUUUGUAAGACAAGAUUCAAUUCUCUAUUUCACGUCGGUAUGAAAAACAACGUUUUGAAUGUGGGUUUAGUAUUUGAAUUCUCUCUUGCAUGUAUAGUAUGCUACGUUCCAGGUAUCAACACGUUUUUUAGAACGUACCCUCUACGUUUGAAGUGGUAAGAAAUUUUUAUUUAUCUAAACCGAUUUCCAACAGUUAU